Molecule: long non-coding RNA, 1046 nt
Organism: Quercus robur (English oak)
Lineage: Eukaryota; Viridiplantae; Streptophyta; Magnoliopsida; Fagales; Fagaceae
Exons: 5
Source: RefSeq, a predicted model, not a curated record
UGAGGCAAAAGGCUAGGUCUAGCGGUGGACUAGGUGAAUUGAAGCAGCUGAGCAAUUUGAGAGGAAGACUUGAGAUCAAAUAUUUGGGACAUGGAAGAGAUGAUAUCUUAAAGAGUGGGAUGGUGGAGGAAUUCAGAUGAUGAUGAUGAUAAUCAUCUCUUGCUUCCAUCAUUUCCUCCUUCUCUUUCUCAUUUAUAGAUUAUCGAAUGCCCUAACUUGACUUCCAUGCCCCUAAUUCCUGAUCUCACUUCUUUAAAAAUGUUGGAUAUUUUUGGUUGUCCCCUCUUAAGGCAAACAAUGAAGAUUGGCCCAUCCAUCAUUGUUCAUUUCCCAAAUAAUCCAGCAAGAAAAAAAAAAUUUAUUCAGACUUUGUUUUAGUCAAAAGUAGAACAAAGAUUGAGGUCUACCAAUGUAGACAUUCACAAAUUUGGAGAUAAUAUUUAUCUGUGUUGGCACAAGGUCAAGAACUCAGUGAAUCAUAGCAAAUUUCUUAGAACUUUGAAGGGAGCACUUGACCAGGCAACUAACAUGGCAGGAAUUAGCUUACUAAGCUGACUGACUUUGAAGUCAGAGAAGAACUAGAGAAUGACUGAAUGAGUCUAAUUUGUUCAUCCAUGCACAAAUUCAAAGGUUGUUCUGCUCCAAACAAAACCCAAGGUUAAGAACGUUUGGUUUUUCCAUUGGUUGGUAAUUUGGCACUCUCUCUCUCUCUCUCUCUGUGCUAAAGCCAUGGCCCUUGCUUCUUGAAUUUUGGAUGUGGAGACAAAAUUCAAGAACCUGCCCUGUUCAAAACUUUCUGGCCCUGAAAUCGUUUAACAAGUAGUGUACUCAGUGGUAAUCAUCUUCUCUCUAUCUUUUAAAAUUUAGGCGAAUCUCUUUCUGUUUUGUUUCCUUUCUGUAUGUUCAAAGGCCUGCUGUUGCACAGAAAGGAUAGAGUUUAUAUCUUUGUAACUACAAUUGACUCAAUGGUGAUGUACUUGGUUGCUUCACUGACAAUUGCAGAAAUAGAGAAACUUUCACUACUUGAUGGGAGUCUACCAUGCCAA